GACGAACGCUGGCGGCGUGCUUAACACAUGCAAGUCGAACGGAAGGGCCCUGCUUUUGUGGGGUGCUCGAGUGGCGAACGGGUGAGUAACACGUGAGUAACCUGCCCUUGACUUUGGGAUAACUUCAGGAAACUGGGGCUAAUACCGGAUAGGAGCUCCUGCUGCAUGGUGGGGGUUGGAAAGUUUCGGCGGUUGGGGAUGGACUCGCGGCUUAUCAGCUUGUUGGUGGGGUAGUGGCUUACCAAGGCUUUGACGGGUAGCCGGCCUGAGAGGGUGAACGGCCACAUUGGGACUGAGAUACGGCCCAGACUCCUACGGGAGGCAGCAGUGGGGAAUAUUGCACAAUGGGCGGAAGCCUGAUGCAGCAACGCCGCGUGCGGGAUGACGGCCUUCGGGUUGUAAACCGCUUUCGCCUGUGACGAAGCGUGAGUGACGGUAAUGGGUAAAGAAGCACCGGCUAACUACGUG
RNAcentral lists this ribosomal RNA (468 nucleotides) under uncultured bacterium. RNAcentral's name for it is "partial 16S ribosomal RNA". It matches the Rfam family "Bacterial small subunit ribosomal RNA", at positions 28 to 507 of the family's 1533-position model. The record is from RNAcentral.